RNAcentral lists this ribosomal RNA (407 nucleotides) under uncultured bacterium. Its description in RNAcentral is "partial 16S ribosomal RNA". It matches the Rfam family "Bacterial small subunit ribosomal RNA", at positions 28 to 526 of the family's 1533-position model. The record is from RNAcentral.
GACGAACGCUGGCGGCGUGCCUACUACAUGAAAGUAGGACGCAGUUGCUAACUGGUGAGUAACGCGUCGGUAACUGCCUAUUAGAGGGGGAUAACUAUUGGAAACGAUAGCUCAUACCGCAUACUAGUAGAUUGACCUGCUUUGUAUUAGCUAGUAGGUAGGGUAAUGGCCUACCUAGGCGACGAUACAUAGCCGACCGGAGAGGGGGAUCGGCCAGACUGGGACGGAGACACGGCCCAGACGCCUACAGGAGGCAGCAGAAGGGAAUCUGGGGCAAGGGGGGGAACCCUGACCGAGCAACGCCGAGUGAGUGAAGAAGGUUUUCGGAUCGUAAAGCUCUGUUGUUAAGGAAGCGGUACUUAACCAGAAAGGGACGGCUAACUACGUGCCAGCAGCCGCGGUAAUAC